UAUUCUGACUGUAGGGAUGUUGGUUAGGGACAGGUGUACUUGGGUAACUGCCUGUGGGGUCCAGUAUUCUGACUGGGGAUGUUGGUUAGGGACAGGUGUACUUGGGUAACUGCCUGUGGGGUCCAGUAUUCUGACUGGGGAUGUUGGUUAGGGACAGGUGUACUUGGGUAACUGCCUGUGGGGUCCAGUAUUCUGACUGGGGAUGUUGGUUAGGGACAGGUGUACUUGGGUAACUGCCUGUGGGGUCCAGUAUUCUGACUGUAGGGAUGUUGGUUAGGGACAGGUGUACUUGGGUAACUGCCUGUGGGGUCCAGUAUUCUGACUGGGGAUGUUGGUUAGGGACAGGUGUACUUGGGUAACUGCCUGUGGGGUCCAGUAUUCUGACUGUAGGGAUGUUGGUUAGGGACAGGUGUACUUGGGUAACUGCCUGUGGGGUCCAGUAUUCUGACUGUAGGGAUGUUGGUUAGGGACAGGUGUACUUGGGUAACUGCCACCAUUGGAGCCAACGCUGCUGGAGAGCAGAGGCUCUUCUGGAGAGUAGCAGGUUCUGGAGAAGACCACCUGUUCAUUUGGACUGUGUAUUAUAUACUGCACUGCCUAUGGGAUCUCAAAGCAGAAGUUGAAAUACUGUACAUGGCCUGUCUGUUUAGGACUACUAGGAUAUUCAGUCCAGUUCAAUGAGAGGUGGCCGUGGUCAUUUGUUGUAAGGUUCAUAUUCCCUAAGUAACCAAUCACAGCCAGAAAAGGUGAGGAAUAUAUUCUGCAAUGGUUAUAAAAAAAUAAAUAAGAAAUACAUUCCUAUGUCUGAUUUUUGUUUUUGGAUUCCAAAAAUAAAAAGAUUUUCCGCUCUUUUCACUAAUUGAAAAUGGCUGCCUCUUGUUAGAUAUUCCAGUUUUUAAGUCAUUUUUUGGAUAAGAACGUCGUCAUAUCCUGUAUUUGCACAAAAUACUUGUCUGCUUGCUAUACAACCACUAGAAAAUGUGUGUAUGCAUGGCCUAAAGUUUGCGGGGAGGUAAGGAAAAUUGUCUCACUCAUAUUUCGGGGUAUAUUUUGUGCAUACCAAACGUUUAUAAAUGAGGGCCCUAAAAUGUCAUUCCAGUACAUGAACACAGCACCUAAUUACUUUUAUGGGAUUUUUUUGAAUGACAGUUUCAUUUUAAGCAACUUGAAGCAUGUCAAUUCACAACUGUGUGUAUAUAUUGACU
Molecule: long non-coding RNA, 1205 nt
Organism: Oncorhynchus keta (chum salmon)
Lineage: Eukaryota; Metazoa; Chordata; Actinopteri; Salmoniformes; Salmonidae
Exons: 5
Source: RefSeq, a predicted model, not a curated record